This 874-nucleotide long non-coding RNA is filed under the name Vigna radiata. RNAcentral's name for it is "long non-coding RNA (VRAD_LNC004792)". Lineage: Eukaryota; Viridiplantae; Streptophyta; Magnoliopsida; Fabales; Fabaceae. The record is from RNAcentral.
AUUAAAACAAAUCACAUUACAACGAAUCAUCCCAUUCUCACUAACAUUGAAACUAAAAUCAUCUCUAUGACACAUAAAAAACAAACCAACAAUAUCAACCCCUUCAUACACUUUUCCAUAAACAACACUGAUUUUUGUAUCUUAACUAUCAUUUUCCUAGUACUCUCCAAUUCUUCACUGCUGACCAAAGUUUCUUUCUUCCCUUCGCUCUUGACGUAACGACCACUAUCCUCACUUCCAACAUCUGUGCACCAUUUGAAGAAGUUACAACCAGCAUCUUCAACACCAUUCUGCAAACACAUUUGAAGAAGUUGCCUUAAUCUCAGAAACAGUACUUUAAAUGGAACGUAUAGGUUGAAUAUGACAUACCUUAUACUUGGAGCAUCCCAAAAAAUGUUUGCCUCGAUUCUUCAUAGUGUUCGCAGUUCUCAUCACAGAUCUUUGUCCACAAUGGCAAAUAGGGGUUUUGUUCCUUCUGCAUGUCGACGAACAGCAAGAGUACUCCUUUGACAUCCUCUUCGAAGAACAACGACAAUAAACUUGAUCCCCACCACACCCAACCUUGAUCUCGCAAAAUGUUAUGAACCAACACCCUUCGAAGAAGAACCACCACCCUUUAUCACCUUCAGCUUCAACUUAGAACCCUUAUCCCAAUUUCCACAAUUGCCGACCACACUAAGCCACGAACCCUAUUUCCCCAAUUUCCAAAACCCCCAAUUUCGCAAACCCCCUAUUUCCCCAAAUUCCCAAACCUAAGUUUCCCCAAUUUUAAUCACCUCAUAUCACUUUACCCUGACUUACUCACAUGUGUUUUUACGCACAUGUUUUUUUUAAUUUAAAUUCCUCAUUUUACCCUCACUUAACCUUUAAGCAC